UGCUAAAACAUCUAGUGGACUGUCACUUA
RNAcentral lists this non-coding RNA (29 nucleotides) under Bombyx mori (domestic silkworm). The record is from RNAcentral. Lineage: Eukaryota; Metazoa; Arthropoda; Insecta; Lepidoptera; Bombycidae.